GACGAACGCUGGCGGCGUGCUUAACACAUGCAAGUCGAACGAAGAGCGAUGGAAGCUUGCUUCUAUCAAUCUUAGUGGCGAACGGGUGAGUAACGCGUAAUCAACCUGCCCUUCAGAGGGGGACAACAGUUGGAAACGACUGCUAAUACCGCAUACGAUCUAAUCUCGGCAUCGAGGAUAGAUGAAAGGUGGCCUCUACAUGUAAGCUAUCACUGAAGGAGGGGAUUUCGUCUGAUUAGCUAGUUGGAGGGGUAACGGCCCACCAAGGCGAGGAUCAGUAGCCGGUCCGAGAGGAUGAACUGCCACAUUGGGACUGAGACACGGCCCAGACUCCUACGGGAGGCAGCAGUGGGGAAUCUUCCGCAAUGGACGAAAGUCUGACGGAGCAACGCCGCGUGAGCGAUGACGGCCUUCGGGUUGUAAAGCUCUGUUAAUCGGGACGAAAGGCCUUCUUGCGAAUAGUGAGAAGGAUUGACGGUACCGGAAGAGAAAGCCACGGCUAACUACGUG
RNAcentral lists this ribosomal RNA (510 nucleotides) under uncultured bacterium. RNAcentral describes it as "partial 16S ribosomal RNA". It matches the Rfam family "Bacterial small subunit ribosomal RNA", at positions 28 to 507 of the family's 1533-position model. The record is from RNAcentral.